RNAcentral lists this long non-coding RNA (216 nucleotides) under Brassica napus (rape). RNAcentral's name for it is "long non-coding RNA (BNAP_LNC008703)". Lineage: Eukaryota; Viridiplantae; Streptophyta; Magnoliopsida; Brassicales; Brassicaceae. The record is from RNAcentral.
UUUUUUUUUUUUUGUCAUCUGUUGGAUUAAAAUUGAAAUAACCAUGCCUUACACAAAGCCGACAAAGGAACAAAGCCUUUCCGGAGCCAUAAGCCGACGAGGUAAAACAACACCCUUCGGAACCAAGAGUAAAACAACAACAAAGAACAUAACUUAUGCUAAAACAAGGAAGGGAUAGAUCACUACAAGAACGGAGAGCACCACCUUGCACUCAAG